Long non-coding RNA from Alligator sinensis (Chinese alligator), 770 nucleotides. RefSeq lists it as uncharacterized. The transcript has 5 exons. The record is from RefSeq and is a predicted model, not a curated record. Lineage: Eukaryota; Metazoa; Chordata; Crocodylia; Alligatoridae.
GGCCCCUUUCUUCCUUUAGCAACAAACACCUGGUACUUGUGGUUUUCCUGUACGUGGCUUCAUAUGCCUUCGGGGAUUGGACUAGAUGACCUCUGGAGGUCCCUUCCAGCCCUACUUCUUUAUGACUUUAUACAAGUUUCCACAUAAUUCUGUUUUUGAUUGUCUCCUGAUGCUUUUGGGGAGGGGGGACAGUGUGCAUUUCUUUGCAGAUAGCACAGACAGCGGGAGCAGAGGAGAGCUGCUCUCCCCCAUGCAGGCUCUAGCAGAAAGCAGGACUUUCUGGAGCAGCAGCACCAGCCAUUGGUAUUGUGCUGCCAGUGUGAAGGAGAGCUGAUGUCUUGUUAAUCCUGUGUGCUCCGGCUGAACUUCACUGGAGGCCCAAGGUUUAAGCUGUCUAAAUGGAAGGAUGUAUUCAAGUUUCCCAUUAUGCAGUGAGAGCUGGAAACAGUAGGAAACCAUGCAGCACGAGCUGCAUCAGCCCAGCAGUGCCGGGCAGGGGAGGCCACACUGGAGGCAGACGCUCCGGCGGGAGAAGCUGCCCCCCGUGCGCCUGCGCCCCAGCACCCUGGCACCAGAUGCCACGCUGGAGGCAGACAGGUGGGCAAGGGGCAAACUGCCCCCAAUUAAAGCUUCCCCCUGCGUGCCCUCCUUGGGGGAAGGUGCGGAGAGGAGGGACCCUGCACCUGGACCAGGACCAGGUGCAGGCGCAGCGGUGGGGGCAGGUGGAGGGGCGGGCGAGGCCGUCCCAGCUGUGCCGGGCAGCGCUGCCA